UUUAUUCCUACUUGAAACUUCAUGUUUAGUCGUUUACUCGUUUACGCACACUGUUGACAAGCCAAGACGCCAAGAGUGCAAGUAGCUCAAGCCAAGCAAGGUCGAAGCCAGGUUGACCACGUGACCGUAUGUCAACGGACCGUCAAGGCCUGUUUCAUCGGACCGCCAGGCCUGUUUCAUCGGACCGCCAGGACUGCUCUGCCGAUCUCUCGGCGUGGAGGAAACGUAAACAAAGGAAAUGUACUCUCUUGUCCAUUUUUUGGCGGAAAAUGAUGUCGCAGUUGUCCCUACCUGUUGGGUGUGCAAUGGCUGCACGGCAUGGCCACCCUACAAAUCAAAUCUGUUGAUGAUGGCAAUUAGAGAGCGUGAAGAGCCCUCGACUGACUGGGCCACAUUCUCCUGUCAGGUGAUGGCAUCAUGUUUGACACAUGAAGAUGCAAAGUACAAAGAAAAAAAAUUCGGAAGCGACGUCCGACUUAACAUUGAAUAAUGAAGAGCGGGAGAAGAGAAAAAGGAAGAGACUGCAGCAUACUCUUUCUUCAUUUGAGGAUGAGGACUUCUAUGACCAAGAUGAACGACGUAACACUCAGCCAGCCCCUCAACUUCCAGAACGUGCACCAGAGCCCAAGCAAAAACGCACACGUGAGCUGUGCGCACCUGCUUUAAACAGAAGGCAGAAAACAUGAGCCAGCCAUCAUCGUGCAGGAAGCCGACGCCAAAUGGGCUGCUGCUGAAUCGGUCAGGCAUGCACCAGCUAGGACCAAGAAAAUG
Molecule: long non-coding RNA, 771 nt
Organism: Ixodes scapularis (black-legged tick)
Lineage: Eukaryota; Metazoa; Arthropoda; Arachnida; Ixodida; Ixodidae
Exons: 5
Source: RefSeq, a predicted model, not a curated record